RNAcentral lists this ribosomal RNA (369 nucleotides) under uncultured organism. RNAcentral describes it as "bacterial SSU rRNA". It matches the Rfam family "Bacterial small subunit ribosomal RNA", at positions 526 to 896 of the family's 1533-position model. The record is from RNAcentral.
CGAAGGAUGCAAGCGUUAUCCGGAUUCAUUGGGUUUAAAGGGUGCGUAGGCGGACUUGUAAGUCAGUGGUGAAAUCUCUCAGCUUAACUGAGAAACUGCCAUUGAUACUGCAGGUCUAGAGUAUAGAUGACGUUGGCGGAAUAUGACAUGUAGUGGUGAAAUACUUAGAUAUGUCAUAGAACACCGAUUGCGAAGGCAGCUAACGAAACUAUAACUGACGCUGAGGCACGAAAGUGCGGGGAUCAAACAGGAUUAGAUACCCUGGUAGUCCGCACGUAAACGAUGAUUACUCGUUGUUGGCGAUAUGACAGUCAGCGACCAAGCGAAAAGCGAUAAGUAAUCCACCUGGGGAGUACGCCGGCAACGGUG